UAAUACAUGCAAGUAGAACGCUGAAGAGAGGAGCUUGCUCUUCUUGGAUGAGUUGCGAACGGGUGAGUAACGCGUAGGUAACCUGCCUUGUAGCGGGGGAUAACUAUUGGAAACGAUAGCUAAUACCGCAUAACAAUGGAUGACACAUGUCAUUUAUUUGAAAGGGGCAAUUGCUCCACUACAAGAUGGACCUGCGUUGUAUUAGCUAGUAGGUGAGGUAACGGCUCACCUAGGCGACGAUACAUAGCCGACCUGAGAGGGUGAUCGGCCACACUGGGACUGAGACACGGCCCAGACUCCUACGGGAGGCAGCAGUAGGGAAUCUUCGGCAAUGGGGGCAACCCUGACCGAGCAACGCCGCGUGAGUGAAGAAGGUUUUCGGAUUGUAAAGCUCUGUUGUAAGUCAAGAACGAGUGUGAGAGUGGAAAGUUCACACUGUGACGGUAGCUUACCAGAAAGGGACGGCUAACUACGUGCCAGCAGCCGCGGUAAUACGUAGGUCCCGAGCGUUGUCCGGAUUUAUUGGGCGUAAAGCGAGCGCAGGCGGUUUGAUAAGUCUGAAGUUAAAGGCUGUGGCUCAACCAUAGUUCGCUUUGGAAACUGUCAAACUUGAGUGCAGAAGGGGAGAGUGGAAUUCCAUGUGUAGCGGUGAAAUGCGUCCACAUAUGGAGGAACACCGGUGGCGAAAGCGGCUCUCUGGUCUGU
Molecule: ribosomal RNA, 705 nt
Filed under: uncultured Bacilli bacterium
Lineage: Bacteria; Bacillati; Bacillota; Bacilli
Description: bacterial SSU rRNA
Rfam family: Bacterial small subunit ribosomal RNA
Source: RNAcentral